RNAcentral lists this ribosomal RNA (253 nucleotides) under uncultured bacterium. RNAcentral describes it as "partial 16S ribosomal RNA". It matches the Rfam family "Bacterial small subunit ribosomal RNA", at positions 524 to 776 of the family's 1533-position model. The record is from RNAcentral.
UACGGAGGGAGCUAGCGUUGUUCGGAAUUACUGGGCGUAAAGCGCACGUAGGCGGCUUUGCAAGUUAGAGGUGAAAGCCCGGGGCUCAACUCCGGAAUUGCCUUUAAGACUGCAUCGCUUGAAUCCGGGAGAGGUGAGUGGAAUUCCGAGUGUAGAGGUGAAAUUCGUAGAUAUUCGGAAGAACGCCAGUGGCGAAGGCGGCUCACUGGACCGGUAUUGACGCUGAGGUGCGAAAGCGUGGGGAGCAAACAGG